RNAcentral lists this non-coding RNA (72 nucleotides) under Mycolicibacterium diernhoferi. The record is from RNAcentral. Lineage: Bacteria; Bacillati; Actinomycetota; Actinomycetes; Mycobacteriales; Mycobacteriaceae.
GGAAGCCGGUGUGAAUCCGGCACGGUCCCGCCACUGUGAUCCGGGCGCGCCACUGCCCGGGAGUCAGGUCAC